This 253-nucleotide ribosomal RNA is filed under the name uncultured bacterium. RNAcentral's name for it is "partial 16S ribosomal RNA". It matches the Rfam family "Bacterial small subunit ribosomal RNA", at positions 524 to 776 of the family's 1533-position model. The record is from RNAcentral.
UACGGAGGGGGCGAGCGUUAUUCGGAAUUAUUGGGCGUAAAGGGCGCGUAGGCGGCUUGGUAAGUCAAAGGUGAAAUCCCUCGGCUCGACUGAGGAAUGGCCUUUGAAACUGGCUGGCUCGAGGCCGGGAGGGGGUAGCGGAAUUCCCAGUGUAGCGGUGAAAUGCGUAGAUAUUGGGAGGAACACCGGUGGCGAAGGCGGCUACCUGGACCGGUUCUGACGCUGAUGCGCGAAAGCGUGGGGAGCAAACAGG